AAACUCAGGAGAGUCUCUGAAAAAGAGCGCCGAAGGUGUAAUCAGCAGUGCGGUGAAAAACACGAACUGCUGAGAAUCUCUCAGGCAAAAGGAUGGAGGAAUG
Molecule: non-coding RNA, 103 nt
Filed under: uncultured Ruminococcus sp.
Lineage: Bacteria; Bacillati; Bacillota; Clostridia; Eubacteriales; Oscillospiraceae
Description: Glycine riboswitch
Rfam family: Glycine riboswitch aptamer
About the family: This family represents the bacterial glycine riboswitch. Glycine riboswitches usually consist of two metabolite-binding aptamers domains with similar structures in tandem.
Source: RNAcentral